GGGGCCGGGGGCGGGGACCGGCUAGACUCCCACUCCGUGGUCCGAGCUCGCCACUCGCCCGCGCCCUAGGCCGCCGCGCGCUGCCCAGAGGAGGCGCCGGCAGGGGCCGGAGGCGCGCACCCCGCCCGGCACACCCAGGCGGAGCAGCGACCCGGUCUCCUGCAGCGCAGGGCGCCGCCCGCGUGCGUGGUCCUGUCCCCAUCGCGGCCGACCGCACACGCCGGGCCUGGUUCUGCAGAUCAGGAGUUGGAGCCCUGUACCUUCCUUUCCUCUGAGCCCUGUCUCCUUCGGCAGGCGGGAGCUCCAUAGAACUCGGUUGCUCUGCUGUUUGCUUUGGAGAGGACACAGCGGACAAUGAGGUAUGUUCAAAGGAUCUGUGUUUCCCAGCCUUGGGUCACCGGGAGCUACUGUUAGGUCACCAAAUGGUUCCACCUGAGGGAGGACCCUUGCUCUCUUCCUAACCUUUCCUUGGUCCCUUCCACACUUUUGUUGUCCUUUCCCCUGUGUUUCUGGAAACAGGGGCUGGUGGAAUGCUGGCUCGGGGACUCUGGCAUUCUGCUUCUCUUGGCAGCGCCCAGGGCUAUGCCAGUCAAGGCUGCAGCCUGGAGUUCUCUGUGUAGGGUUUGAGUUGAUGGGGCAGGGGUCAGGGGUCAGGGGCUGAGUCUUGGGCAGGGCAUGGUGGGAGGGUGCUGAGCCGUCUCUCUUCUGGGCUGACUCACACACUUCUUUCUCCAU
RNAcentral lists this long non-coding RNA (735 nucleotides) under Rattus norvegicus (Norway rat). RNAcentral's name for it is "long non-coding RNA NONRATT019233". Lineage: Eukaryota; Metazoa; Chordata; Mammalia; Rodentia; Muridae. The record is from RNAcentral.